AGCCGAAACGUCUUUGCCUGUCAGUAACGACAGGCAGGGGCGUCUACUUAGGGUAGUGCCUAGGUACUGACGAGGCAGCUAACA
This 84-nucleotide non-coding RNA is filed under the name Candidatus Kaiserbacteria bacterium. Lineage: Bacteria; Candidatus Kaiseribacteriota. The record is from RNAcentral.